Long non-coding RNA from Oncorhynchus masou masou (cherry salmon), 1137 nucleotides. RefSeq lists it as uncharacterized. The record is from RefSeq and is a predicted model, not a curated record. The transcript is spliced from 2 exons. NCBI's taxonomy places the organism in Eukaryota, Metazoa, Chordata, Actinopteri, Salmoniformes, Salmonidae.
GCUCUCUCUGUCCAUCCACACACGCUCUCUCUUACCCUCUCUCUCUCCCCCCCUGGCUCUCUCUGUCCAUCCACACACGCUCUCUCUUUUUUUGGUGUGAUUCUCUAUGGACGUCCAGUCCUCCAGAUGUGGCCUUGCUGCGGUCUCCAUAACUCUGUGCCUGAAGCGUGCCUAUUGGCCGCUGUCUCCAUGUCACUCAGUGCCUCAGCAUGCUCAUUGGCCAGUCAGGCUGAAGGGUGGCUUGGACAGCAACAUCUGGCCAAUAGGAGACAAUCUGGACCAGUAUCACAUAGGCUCAAACCACCUGGCCUACUGUGUUUGGGGCAGCUUCAACAAGGCAUAGUCAUUACACUUAUUUCAGUCAGGGGGCGAAUGGGGAAUAUGAGAAUAGCUGGCACACUUUAUUGUGGUGGUUCAGUUUAGGGUUUGUUGCGAGAUUUUCUCACUUAGAUGGAUUACAUCCUCACUUAUCGGAUGUUCUAUAAUGAUUUAUAGUUUAUAAAACAUACGAAUGAGCUUGUUAAACUAAGAUUUAAAGUGGGCUAUUUUUGAGUGUUAUGAUUCAAACAGGAGCUGAGGAGCUGUUUCUGCAAGGACAGGACGUACUUCUGGACGGUGAUAGCGACUCCGACUGGGAGCCCCCGGUGCCAAGCUGCCCGCUCUACUCCUACCUCCAGUGGUGUUCAUAUGCCACAGUUCAUUACUGCAGGCAUGACUGUGCCUCAGGGCCAAAAGGGCACAGCAUGGAGGCGUCAUUGUGUUCUGUGUCGCACCUGCAUCCCUUGUACAGUUUGCCUCUGCUUUACAUCAGAAAGAGACUGCUAUGGGACAUGGCACAGGCAGCAAAAUAUUGUGUAGAGGACUUCCAAGGGGUCUACUGGGUUUUUAAAAAUAUUUUUUUUCUAAUAUUUUUGUAAACAUUUUUAUAUAUUUUUUUUUUGUGUGUUAGAAUUGCUUUUUGAUAUGUGGUAUAUAGUUAUUUGCACUGUUCCUGAAGUUAUCAGUCUGAAACUUUGCACACCUACAGUUGCCCUCUUGUGUUAUCCAUCAAAAUUAUCUCCAGCAUCCUAUCUGACUGUGUGGCUAUUCUAGUACAUGUGAAAGAUGAUGCUACAACAAUAAAAAACAGAAAACGUA